RNAcentral lists this ribosomal RNA (71 nucleotides) under uncultured Mycobacterium sp. RNAcentral's name for it is "partial 23S ribosomal RNA". Lineage: Bacteria; Bacillati; Actinomycetota; Actinomycetes; Mycobacteriales; Mycobacteriaceae. The record is from RNAcentral.
UGUCGUUUGUAAGUGCGUAAGGGCGCAUGGUGGAUGCCUUGGCACUGGGAGCCGAUGAAGGACGUGGGAGA